UGGGGAAUAUUGGACAAUGGGGGCAACCCUGAUCCAGCCAUGCCGCGUGAGUGAUGAAGGCCCUAGGGUUGUAAAGCUCUUUCAGCGAGGAGGAUAAUGACGUUACUCGCAGAAGAAGCCCCGGCUAACUUCGUG
This 135-nucleotide ribosomal RNA is filed under the name proteobacterium CFW-10. Its description in RNAcentral is "partial 16S ribosomal RNA". It matches the Rfam family "Bacterial small subunit ribosomal RNA", at positions 355 to 507 of the family's 1533-position model. The record is from RNAcentral. Lineage: Bacteria; Pseudomonadati; Pseudomonadota; Alphaproteobacteria; Hyphomicrobiales; Rhizobiaceae.